Long non-coding RNA from Patiria miniata (bat star), 505 nucleotides. RefSeq lists it as uncharacterized. The transcript has 3 exons. The record is from RefSeq and is a predicted model, not a curated record. NCBI's taxonomy places the organism in Eukaryota, Metazoa, Echinodermata, Asteroidea, Valvatida, Asterinidae.
AGCACCAAUCGUGCACGCCGGUCGCUUAGUAAACAGCUGGUAUUUAUACGGAUGUUGAAGUUCUUCAACGUACUUGCUUCUUAUCGCAGGACUUAACAUUUCUGAAAGAGAAAAUCGGCCCGGGAUUGGUAGAGAUAGUUGUUAGUUGGACAAAAUACCCUGCGUGCCCACGCGGAACUUACAAGUCCACCUGUGAGCCCACGGACGGAUGCACCCCGUGCCCGCCUGACUCGACCACAGCCGCUGAGGGCAGCAAACUCCUAGGAGCGUGCUUCUGCAAGGAAGGCUACGAGGGGGAUCCCAUGCGUGGGGAGUCCUGCAGGCUGGUGACCUGCCCGAUUUUGACGUCUCCUAGAAAUGGCCAGAUUUUGCCGUCCCCCUGCAGCAACAAGUACCAAUCAGUGUGCUCGUUUCAGUGUGACAUCAGCUACGAGCUGGAGGACGCGGCCCCGGCCAAACGCCGAUGUCAGGCCAACGGCCACUGGACAGAAACAACACAACAUUG